GAGCGCGUGUAGCAAUACACGAGCGGCAGACGGGAGAGUAACACGUGGGAACGUACCCUUCGGUUCGGAAUAACCCAGGGAAACUUGGACUAAUACCGGAUACGUCCGAAAGGAGAAAGAUUCAUCGCCGAAGGAUCGGCCCGCGGCUGAUUAGCUAGUUGGUAGGGUAAUGGCCUACCAAGGCGACGAUCCAUAGCUGGUCUGAGAGGAUGAUCAGCCACACUGGGACUGAGACACGGCCCAGACUCCUACGGGAGGCAGCAGUGGGGAAUAUUGGACAAUGGGCGCAAGCCUGAUCCAGCCAUGCCGCGUGAGUGAAGAAGGCCUUAGGGUUGUAAAGCUCUUUUGGCGGGGACGAUAAUGACGGUACCCGCAGAAUAAGCCCCGGCUAACUUCGUG
RNAcentral lists this ribosomal RNA (399 nucleotides) under uncultured bacterium. RNAcentral's name for it is "bacterial SSU rRNA". It matches the Rfam family "Bacterial small subunit ribosomal RNA", at positions 64 to 507 of the family's 1533-position model. The record is from RNAcentral.